Molecule: long non-coding RNA, 581 nt
Filed under: Nicotiana tabacum (common tobacco)
Lineage: Eukaryota; Viridiplantae; Streptophyta; Magnoliopsida; Solanales; Solanaceae
Description: long non-coding RNA (NTAB_LNC000673)
Source: RNAcentral
CUGCCCUUUUCUUCACAUUCAUGAGUGGUAUGUCAAUAUUGCGACAAACCUGGGCAUGUCAUCAAACAAUGUCGUCGUCUCAUCAAAAGCCUUUCUGUGGUUGUCGCCCGAUUUAGCCAAUCAUUCAACCUUGAUUCAACAACGCCCACCGCGUGCCAACUACGCAACCCCUACAAGUACAUCAUCCUCCACCUGGUUGGUUGACUCGCGCACUUCACAUCAUGUCACAAACUGACCUCCAAAAUCUAUCUCUUCACUCUGAAUAUGAUGGAUCUGAUGAUCUUGCUUGGUAAUGGUAAAGUAAAGGUUUGCCAAUCACACAUACAUGCACUAUAACCUUACACUCUUUAUCUCGUCCUUGCAUCUAUCUAAUGUCUUAUGUGUUUCUGCCUUGAAACAAAUUUAAUUUCUGCUCAUAAGCUUUGCUGCAAUAAUAAUGUUUCUGUUGAAUUCACUUCUUUUUCUUUCUAUGUCAAGGAUUUAACCACAAGUGCACCUCUUCUGGCAGGAAACCUAAGAAUGAUGUUUACAAAUGGCAAGGCUUCUCAUCAUCACCAGUUGCUUAUUCUACUAUUGUCGUC